Long non-coding RNA from Camelus dromedarius (Arabian camel), 391 nucleotides. RefSeq lists it as uncharacterized. Lineage: Eukaryota; Metazoa; Chordata; Mammalia; Artiodactyla; Camelidae. The transcript is spliced from 3 exons. The record is from RefSeq and is a predicted model, not a curated record.
UUAGACAGACAGCUCCAUUUCAGACAAAUGCCAGCAGGGACGAAGCCACGACACCCAGAAACAUUGUCGACGCGACAGUGGACUGGCAUUUCAGGAGAGCUUGGCUCUCUCAGUCCCUGGAUUGUCCUACUUUCCAUUCCCUGGACAGGUUGCUGCUAUCUAUCUCCAGACAAAGCACUUCCACUGGUCAUGGAAAAAAGGUCUAAAUCCGUGUCUUCUCUGCUUACAAGUCUUGCCUGGGAGCAAUGGGAGAGAAUGUAUACAAUCAUGAAACAAAAUAUGGCAUUUUCUGAAUGCUGCUCACAUUACCCCAAAUAAACAAACAGGCUCUGUCAAACAACCUUCUUCAAAAUGAUACCACAAUCCUUUACUGCUGCCCAGGCAGAACAAA